UUCAAGGCUCAAGGGGGAAUGGCAGAGGUGUAAUAGUAUGAACUGACAACAUGCUAGUUUGUCUUCCUUUAUAUCUUUUCAUUUUUCCUACUUAAUUUGACUGAUGAUCCGGCAAGAAAAUUCUGUGGAAGCUUUUCAACUGCUCCUUGGUUUCUCUUUAUCAUAUCACCCGAGCGACAUUAACGCUCAUUCCCUUUUCGUAUACCCUUUUCUUCCUCGGAACUACCACAAGAUUGUUAAGA
Long non-coding RNA from Hibiscus syriacus, 242 nucleotides. RefSeq lists it as uncharacterized. The transcript has 3 exons. Lineage: Eukaryota; Viridiplantae; Streptophyta; Magnoliopsida; Malvales; Malvaceae. The record is from RefSeq and is a predicted model, not a curated record.